Molecule: long non-coding RNA, 706 nt
Filed under: Homo sapiens (human)
Lineage: Eukaryota; Metazoa; Chordata; Mammalia; Primates; Hominidae
Description: HSALNT0000982
Source: RNAcentral
GUGGGGCAGCCCCGCAACCCAAGGAAACAUCUACCCUCCUUCUGUGUCUCCAGAUUCUCCUUGACAAGAGGUCAAGGUCGUUGCAGUCAAGCCCAUGGAAGCCUGGAAAUACUGGUCACAUGAAUGGCCCAUCUCCAUCGUCCUCCCCAGCCACAGCGGAGUGUCCACAGAGGACAGUCUUGGAUGGCACAGAGUGAGUCUCUGAGGUAGGACUCUGUUGAUUUAGUCCCACUGAGGCUGCUCUCCACCACCUGGCACUCAAACAUCAGCCGGCUUCACCAUUCCAAAAGUGACCAAGACUCUCCCCUGCUCUGCAGUGUCAUUCAGAGCUGAGGAUGCACAAGAUGGUGUCCAGCUGACCCCUUGCUCACUGUUGAGGCUGUCAGCCUUGUUCCAUCGUAGGGCACCAGGCUUCUUAUAAAUACUGGAGGACAGAGCUUGUUUUGUGCUCUCCAUGGCAUGGACCAGGACAACUCAUUGCCAUUUACUGCAUGAAAUGUUGCUUGACUUCACCUGGACAUAAUCGCUCCCUUCUGAACUUCCAUGGGUCUUUGUUUCUCUUUAAUGGCACCAAUGCUGUCCUACCAGGGUGGGCUACAUCUUUUGCAGAGCCCAAGACAAAAUGAAAAUAUGGGGCCUCUUGUUCAAAAGCAGCAAACAAGUGCCAUUAAAGAGAUUGAAACGGAAAGCGUUUGCCUUUUUUCUG